GAUGAAGAACGCAGCGAAAUGCGAUACGUAAUGUGAAUUGCAGAAUUCAGUGAAUCAUCGAAUCUUUGAACGCAUAUUGCGCUCUCUGGUAUUCCGGAGAGCAUGCUUGUUUGAGUAUCAGUAAACACCUCAACUCCCUUUCUUCUUGAAAUGGAGCUGGACUUGAGUGAUCCCAACGCUUUAUUCAUAAAGUGGCGGGUUACUUGAAAUGCAGGUGCAGCUGGACUUUUCUCUGAGCUAUAAGCAUAUCUAUUUAGUUUGCCUCAAAACAGAUUAUUACCUUUGCUGCAGCUAACAUAAAGGAGAUUAGUUCUUGUGCUGACUGAUGCAGGAUUCACAAAGACCGCUUCGGCUGUCUUUGUAAACUCGAUCUCAAAUCAAGUAAGACUACCCGCUGAACUUAAGCAUAUCAAUAAGCGAGGA
RNAcentral lists this unclassified non-coding RNA (423 nucleotides) under soil metagenome. Its description in RNAcentral is "partial contains 5.8S ribosomal RNA, internal transcribed spacer 2, and large subunit ribosomal RNA". The stretch from base 1 to 120 matches the Rfam family "5.8S ribosomal RNA", at positions 35 to 154 of the family's 154-position model. The record is from RNAcentral.